GGCGCCCCCUUCCCCCCUGGGCUCUUCUGCGGGCUGCCCUUGGCCUCGGCCUGCCGGGCCUUCCAUGACCUCUGACCCCUCUUGGUGCGAACAAGGCCAGACAGACGUUUUGCAGCGGACAUGAAGGAGCUGUGUGCGCGCUGCGUGCCUCUCCUCGGCGUGUGGAGCGUGUGUGUUGUGUACCCGUUUGGGUCUGUGUAUCCCAGCGGGCUUUCUGCAAGUCUGGACCCUGGCUGCAGACUGCGCUGGUCAGGCCCUCACAGAGGAAGGGCCCAAAGCAGGAGCAAGAAAGAGUAAAGCCGCUGGGCUGGCCUGGCCUUCGCUGGAAGCGAGAGGCUGGUUUAGCGCACCCCUGCGCUGCCCCGGGAAACUUCCCAGAGGCCCACACCAGGCCAGGGGCCUGCCUGGCCUCAGCCCUCAGUCGGCUCCACCCCAGCCAGGUGGGUAAGGUUGCCUGGACCCCGGUUCUGCUCAGGACCCAGAGAGGGUGCCUGGCAGCUUAUCUGCGGCCUGGCGGGGAGGCCAGAGAAUCAGAGAAGUUAUCUGAUGGCAGCCCAGCAUGGAGGCUGCUUCUCUACUGGGGCACCCAGAGUGAGAGUCAGCACAGGCAAUCAGAGAGACUUGGAGUGGCUGCUGCUUCUAACGCCAGCUGUUGCUGCUGCUGCUGCUGCUGCUGCUGCUGCUGCUGCUGCUGCUGCUGCAUGUCCUGAGCUGCAGGGCCCAAGUGAGGUAGCUGGUCCAGCUUGGAAUCAGCCGUUGUUCCUCAAGCCUGUGACCUCCUGCGUCCACAGUGUCCAUUGUAGGCUGAGUUCCCCUAGCUCUUAUGCCCCUGAGCAAGAAAGGGUUGGCCUCUUCCUGCUCUGACUGUGCUCUUCUCCGGGUUUCAACACCAAAUCCUCACCGCCUGGAGGUGCCCUGGCCGUCCCACGGGCCAGCCUCUCCUGACUCGGAGGAACAAUGCCGGAGCUGGAAGACAGGAGAGCCGACCACUCGAGAUACAUAUUUAUUUAAUAGUUAACGUUUUGUGCAAAAAAAGGAGGGAAGUCGGAUUCUGGUGAGGGCUUUGCUUAUUUUAUAUCCACUAUAACUAUUUCUGUCCAUGAAAAUUGGCUUAAUUAUAUCAAUGGAAUGUUUCUUUUUCAAUUCUGUAUGCAAUUAGUCCAUCUUGCCGGCUGCAAUUUAUUUUAAUAAAAAAAUAAACCAGUGGUGUGUUCAGUUCCUCGUCCCCUGGGGACAAAUG
This 1240-nucleotide long non-coding RNA is filed under the name Ictidomys tridecemlineatus (thirteen-lined ground squirrel). Its description in RNAcentral is "lncRNA (ENSSTOG00000029276.1)". The record is from RNAcentral. Lineage: Eukaryota; Metazoa; Chordata; Mammalia; Rodentia; Sciuridae.